UACGUAGGGACCGAGCGUUGUCCGGAAUCAUUGGGCGUAAAGAGCGUGUAGGCGGCUUGCUAAGUCUUGCGUGAAAUCUCGGGGCUCAACCCCGAGCGGUCGUGGGAAACUGGCAGGCUAGAGUGCGGGAGAGGAGAAUGGAAUUCCUGGUGUAGCGGUGAAAUGCGCAGAUAUCAGGAGGAACACCGGUGGCGAAGGCGGAUCUCUGGGCCUUACCUGACGCUCAGGUGCGAAAGCUAGGGGAGCGAACAGG
Molecule: ribosomal RNA, 253 nt
Filed under: uncultured bacterium
Lineage: Bacteria
Description: partial 16S ribosomal RNA
Rfam family: Bacterial small subunit ribosomal RNA
Source: RNAcentral